GGGCUUGACAUCCCACGAACCUGAAAGGGAAGGGAGCCCGCAAGGGAAGCCGGCACAGGUGGUGCAUGGCUGUCGUCAGCUCGUGUCGUGAGAUGUUGGGUUAAGUCCCGCAACGAGCGCAACCCUCACCCUCUGUUGCCAUCGGGUCAUGCCGGGCACUCUGAGGGAACUGCCCCGGUCAACGGGGAGGAAGGCGGGGACGACGUCAAGUCAUCAUGCCCCUUACGCCCUGGGCUACACACGUGCUACAAUGGCCGGUACAGAGGGCUGCAAGCCCGCGAGGGGGAGCUAAUCCCACAAAGCCGGUCUAAGUUCGGAUUGCAGGCUGCAACUCGCCUGCAUGAAGGAGGAAUCGCUAGUAAUCGCGCAUCAGCACGGCGCGGUGAAUACGUUCCCGGGCCUUGUACACACCGCCCGUCACACCACGAAAGCCGGCUGUACUCGAAGUCGCUGAG
This 455-nucleotide ribosomal RNA is filed under the name uncultured Methylomirabilota bacterium. Its description in RNAcentral is "bacterial SSU rRNA". It matches the Rfam family "Bacterial small subunit ribosomal RNA", at positions 977 to 1434 of the family's 1533-position model. Lineage: Bacteria; Methylomirabilota (SeqCode). The record is from RNAcentral.